GGGGGGUGGGGGUGUCUCCCCCCGACCCUCUCUAGAUCCGCCCUUGUUAUAUACGUUUGACACAGGUACCUGACGUUAAUUAUUUUACUAUUAACCCUACCUAAUAAUACACAAGGUACUGUUUUCACUGUUAUCAUGGUACCCCUGAGUAUUUAUUUCGUCAGGUAUACAUAUAAUAAAUAGAAAAAAUAACUUUAUCAUAACUGAUGUGUUUACCUGGAAUAUAUUUUGAUUGAAUUGAUGUAAACUGGUCUCAUGUAUUCUUGUAUUAUGAAUGGUGACUCAAUCUACAUUAUGAGUGCAUCAAACUUGGGUACACUGAUUAAUUGUCAUUUUAUUAAUGCGUAAUUAUAAUAAAUGUAUUAAUGCUUGCUGUGGACCAUGAAGUGACACCCUUUUCCUCCGAUUUGAUUAUUUAUACUAAUUAAAAGAAUUAAGCAUCUUAACCUAUAUUUUAACGGGUCAAAAUUUUGUCAUGUCUGCAAUGAAAUGCUAAAACAAUCAUGUGUCAACACCAUGUCAGAAUAAUGCGCGCGGCGACCUCUUAACCUCAGUCUUACUAGAGGUCGUGUUUUCAUUGGAGGAUUGAAUAUAGAGGUGGUGACGUAGUUACUAUUGAGGCCCUAUAGAGGGGGACUUUUUAGAACAGUAAAUUUAUAGAGGUCGUGUUCUCAUUGGUUGCUUUUAGAAAGGGAGGAUGAAUAUACAGAUUUAGUGAGCAUGCGUAAAAAAAGUAGGAGGUUUUAGGUUAUGACGAAACCAUAAGAUGAUUAUAUGGUUUGAGAGCAUGCGCUGUAGUAUCGAUAACGUAAAAUAGAUGAUAUUAAGCAAUACGUGAAUUUUAUUUAGAAAUAAUAGGUCGAUUUAGAUGACCUAUUUUGAGCAAACAGUGAAAAUAAGGUAUACUUACCUGUGCACAGAGAGAGAUAUUUUAAUUUAAAAAAUUACAUGAAAAAAUGCGGUGAUGUAGCAUGCGCACUUGAACAUUGAAAAAGGGUGUAUAUUAAAAAAGUUUAGGGUAUAUUUUAAAAAGUAGUUACAAUUUUUUAUCAUUUUUCAAAAUGCCUUUAACACCAAACGAUUCAACUCCUUCGGCUGCGGUAAACGGGCUGGAUACUGCUUUACCAAUCCCUGAGCAUGAAGACUGGGUUUGGGAAAUAGCAAUGGACCCCUAUCCUUCUGGGAGGUUAAGGGACAUUGAUGGCAGACUGGUAUAUAUGUUUGAUUAUAAGUACGAACAGUACUUACAAAAUCUAGAAGACCAAAAAGAAGAAUAUAAAGAAGAAGUAAAGGAGAAGAAGGAAGAAGAAGACAAGAGAAAAGAACAGUAGCUUCUUUGAAGCUGAAAAAUUUCAACGGUCGUUUUAACGCCCACCAAAUUUUUCGAAAAGAUGUAUCUCAUACAAUGAAACUGGGGGAAAAGCAUUAAUCAAAUACAGUAGGUGAACAGGUUUUUCCCCACCUAAUGUACUUGAUGAUGAAAGACUUUUCUUGACAGCCUACGGUUAGUUUUUUCAUAUGCUUAACUAGUCAAGUUUGUGAUAAUUAACUGUAGGAAGCAAGAAAAUAAAAAAAUAAGGGGAAAAACAAACAAAGUAAAAUUAUAUUCAAUAUUUUUUAUAUAACUUUUUUUAAAAAAACAUAAGUAUUAUAAGAAUAUGUUGGUUUCACAGAAAUGAAGCGCACACAUGCACAGCAGCGACGCUAUAACAAGUUGCGCGAGGGGAUAAUAAUGCCAAUCACAAGAAGGAACGUUAGUCAGAUUGUGUACUUUUUUACAGAUUGUGUCGCUGUCACUGUCCCGGUAAGUCGUUGCCGAUGCCCCUGUGCCGUGACCUCCUGUCGUCGGAGUUCCUUCUAUGUUUCUAUCAGUAUUGAUGUUGAUAGAAUGUGAUGUAUUAAAAGUGAUGUAUUAAAAAUGAUAGUAAUUAAAGUAGAAAUGAUGAUAGUUUGCGUGUACUAUACACUGUGCGGCCAGAGAAUGGUGGGUCGAGUAGACAGUGUACUGCUGUCUGCGGUGCCCGUAUGAUGUGAUGUAGUGAUGUCUGAUGUCAAAGUGUGCGGGGUACUGAUAUUGAUUGUACGUGUGGAAUCAAUGUUGGUAAAUGGGGUCGCUGUGACAGUUUGAGAGUAUGUACGUGUUGAAAUUGUGUGUUGUACGGUCGACUGGUCUGCGACAUAUUUGAUUUAAGGAGGGUUGAACAGAGGAAGUGUCUGCUAAAAUUUGAAUAUCAAAAAGCAAAAAGCAAUAUCAAAGUGAAUCUGCACCCGAGAAAUUAUUCAACAAAUAAAAAAUAAAACAAAAUCAACAUCUUCAAUCAUGCACAUACUUACACAUUGGCGGCAUUGUUGCGGUGGUUGCGUCGUCUAUCGGGAGGGAAAAAAACACUAUUUACAUUAGCUAAUAACAUUAAAAAUAGAUUUCUCCGCUAUCCUUUUUUUGGAGUAAAAAAAAUUAUUACCAGGGCACAAAGGCCUUCCAUUAACGAAACCGCAAGCCAUUGCGAAAUGUGAUGCAAUCGGCAAUUAAUUGUGCUUAUUCAUUUGAUAAAAGUGACAGAGGCAGAGUUUUCUCGCGAUCGGUGUUUUCUUAUGAUCGGUCUAACCUUAGAAGUGUGAGCGCAGAGACCCGUUUAAGGAAAUAAAAAAAUAAUUACGUCUGCACCUGUGGUUUUUCUCCGUCGAGUCCAGCAUGACUAUGUCUCUGAUCUGGGUCUCUUUGCAUAAAUGUACAUACUGUACAAUAGAUCCGCAAUUACCCCGAAUUCUUAAUUGUACGAUCGGGACUAAGGUAGUUAUAUUUCGAAUGAAACAUUUUAUGUAGCAGUGUUAUUGAAUAACUGAAAUGCACUAAUUAUGAACUUUUAAUCAUGAAAUUUAAGUUUACCCUUUCACGUGAUAUUUUGAUCAGUCAUUAACACCCGUUAACAGUGCGGGUUAGGGUGAUCCCGAACAAAUAAAAAGUGAUGAUAACCAAUUUUUAUUGGACUCUGUAUACAGACAAUCACUGUAUUGUGUAUAUCGUCUGAGCUUUAUGACAUACAUUUGUGUCUAUCAAAAUUUGCUUAUUUGGUCAUUCUGUACCUGACGAGGAUACUGAUUACACAAAAAGUCGCUUUUUCGAUAAUUUUAAGUUUUAUGAAUUGUUUUAAUUUUAACGACAAUUGAUUUGAUUUGAAAUUCCCUGUUAAUAAUUGUAGGCCAAACCAGUUGGGAGAGUGCGUAAGGGAAUUAAUGUCACGCGUUCGAACUCGUGAUUAACCUAGUGGCCGUGUGUGACGGUUUUAAGUUUGCAAACAUGUUAUUUUUCAAAAAGUCAUUUAGACAAUUUCUAAGGAGAAAAGUACCUACCGAUCUCCUUCAUCCCUUUCUCACGAUGAAGUUUUAAGAUAGUGAUAAUAUAUAUCAAAUUCCGACGGAAUUUGACAGCAGGAGUACCAAAUAUAAUUACCAAAAAGAAAAAAAAAUGAACAAAAGAAUAAAAAAUCAAAGUAACAUAAAAAAUGAACGGAUGAGUUUCAGAAAAGAUAAGAAAGCAUAAUGGGCCCCUCCAUCUUUUUUUCCUAAACCCAAAUUGCCUCGAAAUUUGAUUUAUAAUAUUUUUCUAAAUUUCUUUAAAAUUAUAAUGAGCGCGAGAAUUUUCAAAGCUGUAUUAAAACCGAAGAAAACGCUCAAUAAAAUUGUCUUUGGAAUAUAUUCACAAGGAUUCAAACAUGGCAAUGUAAGUUGUUUUUUUUUUUUUUUUACCUAUGAUUUGUGUUUCAUUUUUUUUUAUUUCAGAAAUAAAAUUAGUAAAUUCCGCACAAGAAAAAUGGCGAUAAAAUUAUUUAUUUCUCUUAAAUAUAAUUUUAAGUCGCUGUACUUGCGGGGAAGUGCGUCAAGUAAUGAGAAAUCUCGCGCAAGCGAUUAGCGACUUGGACGACCUGCCAUGUCCGUGAGUAAUUGAUAAUAGAAAAAAAAAAUAACACGAUUUUACUUAAAAAGUUAGCUACAAGUGAGUCAAUUUUUUUUAAAACACACAUUACAAUGAAAACUUCACAACUGUAAAGUAAAAAAAGUAAAUUUUAGGAUAACUUGAAAUAUGAAGCAACUUUGUGUGAAAAUAUCUUUUGUAAUAGAAUGUAAAACGAAGUUGUAAAUUAGUCUUUUCAUUUUUUUUUUGGUUUAAGUAUGGAGCAGUGUGCCACUCCACUUCUUUCUUCGUAAGUUUCGUUUGUGUUGUUUUUAGAAAUAAAACGUACUCUCCAGUGUAUAUAGUUUUAAUCUCCGUUUUGUUUACUUUAACCAAAUUUUUAUUCUUUAUGAUUUACACUUAAAAAAAUAAAAUUGAUCAUCAUUUUCCACCCAUAUGUAAAGUACUCCACUAGCAUCCAGAAAGAGGACGCACAGCUCCUCACCGGGAUGUUCGUCAGGGUUAGUAUUUUUCUUCCCAAAAUUAAAAGUUUCAAUUGUUUUAUUGUUCAGAAAUAAUAAAUUCUACACUCAACUUUCACUCAAAAUUAAUAGCAUUUCAUAUUCUGUCCGUACAUAUAUAGCACGCCGAUAUCAAAGAAGAGGAGGGGAAACCUGUUAGUACAUUUUAUAUUCAAUGAAACGCAAUUUCUUGUAAAUGAUCUUAGAAAUAUACGUAUACAUUAAUUUUUUCAUAUAUUCUUAACUUUAGUCCCUUUACUCCAUCGGUGCCGAUUGGGUCAGUAAAUUAAUUUUGAUUUUAUCCUUUUAAAUUUUAAAUUCGUAAUUUAUACAUUGUGGUAUGCAGUAAAUAUAAUGUGACCCUUAAUUCUCAUGUUCAUUUAGAUUACCCCCAAUGCGCCGAUUCGUCCAACGUUAGUUUGAUUCUUUUUUAUUGAAUUAAAAUAUUUUUGUCACUGAGUUAUGUUUUUUUAAUGUUUGAAUGGUUAUAUAUGUAAAAAAAUUAGCGACGAGUAAGUUACGUAACAAAUUUACAUGUUUCAUUUGGUUUAAUUUUAAAUAUAUAUAGAUUUUUUUAGUUCCAAAUUUUACCUCCUUUUUCCCGUAGUUCAACCACGGAGAGUUACUGCCUUCUGGACAGUAGUCUCGAGAGACAACUGCUAUCGCUUGAGGGAAACGCAAGUAUGGCCUCGGCCAGCACCUCCACCGCGGCGAUGGAGCCCGAGGAGCCCGAGAAAUGAUUGGAAAAAUUAACAGAGGUCCCCUUCCCCCCAGACAGGAGGAGAAAAUGGACAUGUUUUAAAA
This is a long non-coding RNA of Magallana angulata, 5217 nucleotides long. RefSeq lists it as uncharacterized. The record is from RefSeq and is a predicted model, not a curated record. Lineage: Eukaryota; Metazoa; Mollusca; Bivalvia; Ostreida; Ostreidae. The transcript has 4 exons.